AUCAGGUAUUAUUUCCGUUCCUAUGGUAGAACUUUCCGGAGCAAUAGAAAUUAACUGCAACCCAGUAACGAACCUUCUCGAGUUUGUCUAUUCUAGCGUUGAAAACAUCCUGCUCUAUUAUUAACAGUUUUUGGUGAAUUCUGUAGGGAUGCAGCCAUUUUGAAAUAACCCGGAAAGUAUUAGAAAGUUACUGAUUCAUUUUAACUGUUUCUCCAAGGAAUCUUUGGAAAGUGCAAGCAUCAGUUAUCAUUCUCAGUAGCAUUGGAAACACUUUUCACUGGUUUUAGAUUUUCUUGGGAAGAAAGCCGUCUUUUAAAUCAUAGUUCUGAAGUAGAUUAUCUUCAGUGAUAAUUGGGUUACUUUGAGAGAAAAUAUGCAUCUUUUGAAAAUUUUACACUGAGGAUAAGUCAAAUUUCUUAAUGGCAAAGAUGGUCCCAAUCAAAGACUGCAUAGGAUUGUUCUUCAUAAGAUUCACUCAAUAUUGUAUUCGAAUCCUUCAACAGUUUGACAAUGGCUACAACACCUUGGAUUCAUUCACUUCACUUGACCUGCAGAGAAUGGCUGAUCUAUCAUUUCAUGGAAGUGUUAAUUAUGGCAUAUCCUUGCUCACUUCACCUUCUGGAAGAUGGCCCCUUCAUGUGCAUAGCCUCUGGGGACAGUUUUAUGCUGUGAGAGACUUCCUCCACAUGCAAACCUGUCAAUGCGUA
Heterocephalus glaber (naked mole-rat) is the source of this 707-nucleotide long non-coding RNA. The record is from Ensembl. Lineage: Eukaryota; Metazoa; Chordata; Mammalia; Rodentia; Bathyergidae.